AGCAGUCGCCGCGGUAAUACGGAGGGGGCUAGCGUUGUUCGGAAUUACUGGGCGUAAAGCGCACGUAGGCGGCUUGGUAAGUUAGAGGUGAAAGCCUGGAGCCCAACUCCAGAAUUGCCUUUAAGACUGCCGAGCUAGCAGGUGAGAGAGGUAAGUGGAAUUCCGAGUGUAGAGGUGAAAUUCGUAGAUAUUCGGAAGAACACCAGUGGCGAAGGCGGCUUACUGGCUCAUACUGGACGCUGAGGUGCGAAAGCGUGGGGAGCAAACAGGAUUAGAUACCCCUGUAGUCCCUGUCUCUUAUAC
RNAcentral lists this ribosomal RNA (303 nucleotides) under uncultured bacterium. RNAcentral's name for it is "partial 16S ribosomal RNA". It matches the Rfam family "Bacterial small subunit ribosomal RNA", at positions 507 to 807 of the family's 1533-position model. The record is from RNAcentral.